GAGCUCGGCCGCGGCUCCCAGCGCUGCGGCGGGCGGGGGUCGGCCUCGACCGGCGGAGCAACCGCGACUCCUCCAGCGCCGCCGCGUGGGAGAGCGCCACGGCCACCUGGUUGGCGACGGCCUGCACGAUCUCCAGAUCUUGGUUGCUCCAAGUCCACGCCGCUGCAGAUGAAGAUGACCAGAACUAAGAUUGCAUAGCUCGCUGGCUCUGAUGCGCAGCUCCCUCCGUGGAACUUUGGGAUCCGUAUUGCGGCCGCAGCUGCUGCUGGCAGCAGGCCUCUUCCGCUCGCCGCCUCAUGCAGCACGGAGCCUGGCAUGAGCACCCUACGACAAGGACACGCCCGACCGGUGGCACAACAUCGCCCGCGCUGUCGGCGGCAAGUCCGCCGAGGAGGUCAGGCGCUACUACGAGCUACUGGAGGAGGACGUCAAGCACAUCGAGUCCGGCAAGGUGCCCUUCCCCGUCUACCGCUGCCCCGGCGGCCGCCGCCGGCGCCCUCGGCUACGAGACCGACAGGAUGAAGCAUCUGAAGAUCGAGGGAUUCCACGGCAGAGCUUGAGAUGAUUGGUAUCUGCACCUUCAGAUAUCUUUCACACGAUUGGUUCAACAUAACCAUGAAAACCUCAGUACGGUAAGGGAUGUAUUUUCCAACAAAACGGUAAGGGAGCUUGCUAAUAAGCUCCUCCACUUUGUGGGAAAUCAAUUUUUUGGUAUAUCUUUAUUAGGCUAAUCACACAUUUGGUUUAUACUAUCAACUCUGAUUUUGGCUUGCUUACCAACAAUUAUUUUCUUAGUGCGUUUCUCAUGUCCAGGGAGUUACCAUUUGUGCAACAAAUUAAAAGUAGAACGCUUCUUCUUUUGCUAACCUUAUUGUGGUUAGUACUUUUCUUUUUCUCAUUCGCAUAUAAAUAAACUAUUGUUGCCACCAUCUUAGCUUACUUUCAUGCUAUGUUUUUAAAGCGGUAAGGCGAGGCGAGCGAUCCACCACCGCCUUAUCGCCUAGGCGACGCCUAGGCGGGCUAAGGCUGGCUAAGGCGAGACCUUAAGCAAGGCGAGCCGCCACCGCCUUGUCGCCUAGGCGACGCCUUGAAAACAGAGCUUUCAUGCGCCAUGAGCCGUUUAUUAGUCAACACUAUAGUGCUUGAAUGCAGAGAAAAAGGACAAGCCCCCCAAUGCUGAAAUAAUAAGCCAAAAUGAACCUCAUCCAUCAAACUCUUCAGUGCAGCAAUGAGAGGUAGCUGCUUAGUCAUAAUGUUCGAUUCAAGGUAUGUACCAAAUUUUCCUCAUCAUAAUUUGUGCUCCACUCUUCAACCUUUGCUUACCAAAUUUUUGUGCUCCACUCUUCUGCCAAAAGGUCUGCUACCGAUGAAAACUACUGUCUACAUAUUUAGAUCUACAUUUUACAGCUACUACCUGCGCCUCAUAAUUUAGACCUACUUACUUUGUUUUUUGUCGUUCCAUCUUAUUCCCCAGGAUUUCCAGUGACAGAGUUUCGCUAGGCAAUGCUUUAGAUCCUGUCAUCCACCAAGGUAUUCCAUUCCUCUUUUGGUCUGUGUAGGCCUCAAAGAACAAUAAAGUUUUAAAUAAAGAUUAGUACCUUUUUGUUUUUGCUUGAAGUGGUCCAGAGAUACUAUAUAUUUGGAGUUCUCUGGAAAACUGGUUAAAUAGUCUCCCAUCACAAAAUAUGUUUGCUAAAUAAUUAAAAUAAGACUCAC
Panicum virgatum (switchgrass) is the source of this 1716-nucleotide long non-coding RNA. RefSeq lists it as uncharacterized. The record is from RefSeq and is a predicted model, not a curated record. The transcript is spliced from 3 exons. NCBI's taxonomy places the organism in Eukaryota, Viridiplantae, Streptophyta, Magnoliopsida, Poales, Poaceae.